GGAUUGUGGCUCAGUGGUAGAGUGCUCGCCUAUGAUGCAUGGGACACUGGGUUUGAUUCUCAGCACCA
RNAcentral lists this transfer RNA (68 nucleotides) under Marmota monax (woodchuck). RNAcentral describes it as "tRNA.His". The record is from RNAcentral. Lineage: Eukaryota; Metazoa; Chordata; Mammalia; Rodentia; Sciuridae.